AAUAUUGGACAAUGGGGGCAACCCUGAUCCAGCCAUGCCGCGUGUGUGAAGAAGGUCUUCGGAUUGUAAAGCACUUUAAGUUGGGAGGAAGGGCUUUAGCUUAUUACCCUGAAUUUUGGACGUUACCGAACGAAUACGCACCGUCUCACUCUGUGCCAGCAGCCUCGGUAAUACAGAGGGUGCAAGCGUUACUCGGAAUUACUGGGCGUAAAGCGCGCGUAGGUGGUUCAGAAAGAUGGGUGUGAAAGCCCCGGGCUAAACCUGGGAACUGCUUUCAUACCGGCUGGGCUAGAGUACGGUAGAGGGUAGUGGAAUUGCCUGUGUAGCGGUGAAAUGCGUAGAUAUAGGAAGGAACACCAGUGGCGAAGGCGACUACCUGGACUGAUACUGACACUGAGGUGCGAAAGCGUGGGGAGCAAA
Molecule: ribosomal RNA, 420 nt
Filed under: uncultured bacterium
Lineage: Bacteria
Description: partial 16S ribosomal RNA
Rfam family: Bacterial small subunit ribosomal RNA
Source: RNAcentral